Molecule: ribosomal RNA, 296 nt
Filed under: uncultured bacterium
Lineage: Bacteria
Description: partial 16S ribosomal RNA
Source: RNAcentral
GGACUACUGGGGUAUCUAAUCCUUAUCGCUCCCCACGCUUUCGUCCUAGCAGUGUCAAGUGGCACCCAGAAGCCUGCCUACGCUAUUGGUGUUCCAAACGAUAUCAACGCAUUUCACUACUACACCGUUUGUUCCAGCUUCCUCUUUGCCCUUCUAGUUUUACAGUUUCAAAAGACAUUCUCCCAGUUAAGCUGAGAGAUUUCACUUCUGACUUGUAAAACCACCUAUCGGUACGCUUUACGCCCAAUGAUUCCGGAUAACGCUUGAGGUCUCUGUAUUACCGCGGCUGCUGGCAC